RNAcentral lists this ribosomal RNA (253 nucleotides) under uncultured bacterium. Its description in RNAcentral is "partial 16S ribosomal RNA". It matches the Rfam family "Bacterial small subunit ribosomal RNA", at positions 524 to 776 of the family's 1533-position model. The record is from RNAcentral.
UACAGAGGGUGCAAGCGUUAAUCGGAUUUACUGGGCGUAAAGCGUGCGUAGGCGGUUCUCUAAGUCGGUUGUGAAAUCCCUGGGCUUAACCUGGGAACUGUAGUCGAUACUGGCGGACUAGAGUACGGUAGAGGGUGGCGGAACUCCGGGUGUAGCGGUGAAAUGCGUAGAUAUCCGGAAGAACACCGAUGGCGAAGGCAACCACCUGGGCCUGUACUGACGCUGAGGUACGAAAGCGUGGGGAGCAAACAGG